RNAcentral lists this unclassified non-coding RNA (143 nucleotides) under uncultured Helotiales. RNAcentral describes it as "sequence contains ITS2". Lineage: Eukaryota; Fungi; Ascomycota; Leotiomycetes; Helotiales. The record is from RNAcentral. RNAcentral also lists the same sequence under 1 other name.
AUACCAAUCUAGCCUGGCUAGGUGUUGGGCUUCGCCGACUGGCGGGCCUUAAAACCAGUGGCGGUGCUCUUAGGCUCUACGCGUAGUAAUUUUCUCGCUAUAGGGUCCUGGGAGUUGCUGGCCAGCAACCCCAAAUUUUUCUA